UAUUUGUUGGUGGAAAUUUGGUCCAUAAUUGCAGUCAAAUCUUUUGUUUUCUGUCACAAGUGGAUCUGAACAUAGGACAUCUCACCCACAGACAAAUCAUAUGUUUCUGGUUAAUUGAGGGUACAACAAAACCUGCUUACAACUUCAGGUUACUUGGGGCUAAUCCAAU
This is a long non-coding RNA of Telopea speciosissima, 169 nucleotides long. RefSeq lists it as uncharacterized. Lineage: Eukaryota; Viridiplantae; Streptophyta; Magnoliopsida; Proteales; Proteaceae. The record is from RefSeq and is a predicted model, not a curated record. The transcript is spliced from 3 exons.